RNAcentral lists this ribosomal RNA (253 nucleotides) under uncultured bacterium. RNAcentral describes it as "partial 16S ribosomal RNA". It matches the Rfam family "Bacterial small subunit ribosomal RNA", at positions 524 to 776 of the family's 1533-position model. The record is from RNAcentral.
UACGUAGGUGACAAGCGUUGUCCGGAUUUACUGGGCGUAAAGAGCGCGCAGGCGGUCGAUCAAGUCGAGUGUGAAAGCCCCCGGCUCAACUGGGGAGGGUCAUUCGAUACUGAUCGACUCGAAGGCAGGAGAGGGUAGUGGAAUUCCCGGUGUAGCGGUGAAAUGUGUAGAGAUCGGGAGGAACACCGGUGGCGAAGGCGGCCUUCUGGACGGUGACUGACGCUGAGGCGCGAAAGCGUGGGGAGCAAACGGG